AUGGAUCAUGAGGUCCUGGAGCGUAUACUUGAUGGAAGAGAAAAUCCGACAAAUCUAUCACUCUCACUUUUGAAGGAUAUCACUGAAAAUUUCUCAGAGGAUCGAGAAAUCGGCCAUGGUGGAUUUGCAACUGUUUAUAAGGGAGUGCUCCCGAAUGGGAACGUUGCGGUAAAGAGGAUAAAGAACAGUCAUUCAAUCAAGGAGACAUUGUUUUAUCACGAAGUUGACAGCCUGUUGAACAUUGAACAUGAAAAUAUUAUACGGUUUCUUGGCUUCUGUGCUAGCACAGAUCAGACGGCAAUAAAAAUUGAAGGAUUGAAACAACAUAUUUAUGCCGAGGUACGAGAAAGACUACUCUGUUUUGAGUAUGUCAGCAAUGGAAGCCUGAGAAAGUACAUUACAGAUGAAUUAAGGGGACUUAAAUGGAACACACGUUAUGAAAUAAUUAGAGGCAUUUGUGAAGGUUUGUACCAUCUGCACCAUGAAAAGAAAAUAUACCAUAUGGAUAUGAAACCUGAGAAUAUACUGCUAGACAAUGAUAUGGUUCCGAAAAUCACUGAUUUUGGUUUAUCGAGACUCGAUGAGAAGUCACAAACCAUGAGUGAAGUCCGUCUUGGAUCACUUGGAUACUGUGCUCCAGAAUACCUAUUUCAGGGAAAGAUGUCAUUCAAAUCAGACAUAUUCAGUUUGGGAGUUAUAAUUAUUGAACUAGUGACAGGACAAAAGGUGAUCCCCAAGAAUAAAAACAAUGUAUUUAGGAGAUGGAGGCACAGAUGGAGGAAAACAGGGAAGGAAACACAGUUGGUUUACCAACAAGUAUCAAAAUGCAUGGAAAUUGGGUUACUUUGUCAGGAAAUUGACCCGUCCGAACGACCUUUUAUAUGGGAUAUCAUAGAUGAUAUCAGACAAGUGGAAUGUGUCAAUGGGUCAAUUAGAAAUGUCUCUGAAUAUAAGUUUGGACAGAUAAGCCCUUACUCGGAGGACGACGAUAUGCUUGGAAUUGACCCGCUCGAACUACAUUUUCCUUUCCAGCUUAACAAACAGAUGGCAUGCACCAUUCAGAUAACCAACGAGACGGGCUCUUACAUUGCCUUCAACGUCGAAGAUAUGAACCCUCUGUCAUACUGUGCACAACCGCAGAAAGACAUUAUACCACCACGAUCCAAGUGUAAUGUCGAAAUAACAAUGCAACCGCAGGCCAAGGCACCGAGAGAUCAUACCAACGAAUUCACUGUUUGGAGCACCAAAGUGAAUGAUGGCCUUGCCAUUGAGGAUAUGGCUACAAUCAAGUUUAUUAAAGAGGCAGCCAACGUGGUUGAUGACGUGAAUUUGGAUGUGGUUUUUGACGUCAGUGAGCCACAAGAAGCAAGAAGCAAGAAGCAAGUGACAAUCCAACCUUUACUAGAGAUUAGAGGAGAUGAUGCAGUCGGUCCGAUCUUUUGUAUGGAUGUGCAUCAGACAAAGCCAUUGAUUAUAACCGGUCACCAAUUUGGUGAUGUUCAGAUUUGGAACUCUGACACGCAGAAAGUGGUCGCUUCGAUUAAGGUCUCAGAGGAAGUAGUAUCCAAAAUAAAAUUUGUUGCACGUAAGCAGUGGCUUGUGGCUGUAUCUCAUGAUUGUUUCGUCCAUGUUUACAAGUAUGAAAAGGAACUCGAAAAGGUCACGAGUUUCAAAGCUCAGGAUCGUGAUGUCUCCUCGUGUUCAUUAGACGUUCAUCCAACCCAGCCGUAUGUGCUGACAGAAUGUGGUACUGAAAUAAAGCUUUGGGACUGGGAACGGGGCUGGAGCUGCAUACAGACAUUCGAAGAACACUCAAAUCUUAUUAACGAACUAAAAUUUAACCCAGAGGACACCAACAGUUUUGCAAGUGCUUCAUGGGAUAGGACAGUAAAGGUUUGGAGUCUUGAUUCUCCCAAAUCCAAGUAUACUCUAUGUGGGCAUUCAGACAGCGUGCACUGCCAGGAUUUCUUCAAGCGUGAUGGUCAGCAGUAUUUGAUUAGUGGCUCUCGUGACAAGACUGCUAAGAUAUGGGACUUGCAGAAGAAGGAGUGUGUUCAUACACUCGAACAUGAGUGUGACGUCUAUUCCGUCUUUGCCCAUCCCAGUCUUCCAGUUCUAAUUACAGCUACAAGCAAUGGUGCUGUUCGUGUGUGGAGCUCCACUGAUUUCACGCUGAAGACAAAGCUUGGAGUCAUGCUUGGGGUUGGUAUUCGUGGUUUCACAUGUUUGACGGGGUCAGAAAGGGUUGCAGUUGCACAAUUUUACACAGUGUCAGUGAUGAAAAUUGGUGAUCAAGAAGGACAAGGUGGUAGUGAAGGCAGCAGCAACGAGAAUUCCAUAGCAGCAAUCGAGAUGACUGCUAGUAAGUCUACGCAGUCUAUGCUAGCACGUCAACUCUAG
Molecule: ribosomal RNA, 2400 nt
Filed under: Triticum aestivum (bread wheat)
Lineage: Eukaryota; Viridiplantae; Streptophyta; Magnoliopsida; Poales; Poaceae
Description: partial small subunit ribosomal RNA
Source: RNAcentral